GCUUCCGUAGCUCAGUUGGUUAGAGCUUCGUACUAAUAACCGUUAGUGAUGCGGAGGCCGCAGGUUCAAGCCCUGCCGGGAGCA
RNAcentral lists this transfer RNA (84 nucleotides) under Metarhizium majus ARSEF 297. It matches the Rfam family "tRNA". From Rfam's summary of the family: Transfer RNA (tRNA) molecules are approximately 80 nucleotides in length. Their secondary structure includes four short double-helical elements and three loops (D, anti-codon, and T loops). RNAcentral also lists the same sequence under 1 other name. Lineage: Eukaryota; Fungi; Ascomycota; Sordariomycetes; Hypocreales; Clavicipitaceae. The record is from Rfam by way of RNAcentral.